Molecule: ribosomal RNA, 250 nt
Filed under: uncultured bacterium
Lineage: Bacteria
Description: partial 16S ribosomal RNA
Rfam family: Bacterial small subunit ribosomal RNA
Source: RNAcentral
UACGGAGGGUGCAAGCGUUGUUCGGAAUUACUGGGCGUAAAGCGCGCGUAGGCGGCUUUACAAGUCAGAUGUGAAAGUCCACGGCUCAACCGUGGAAGUGCAUUUGAAACUGUAAGGCUUGAGUAUUGGAGGGGGUGGUGGAAUUCCCGGUGUAGAGGUGAAAUUCGUAGAUAUCGGGAGGAAUACCGGUGGCGAAGGCGACCACCUGGCCAAAUACUGACGCUGAGGUGCGAAAGCGUGGGGAGCAAAC